GACGAACGCUGGCGGCGUGCCUAAUACAUGCAAGUCGAACGAACCGCGACUAGGUGCUUGCACUUGGUCAAGGUGAGUGGCGAACGGGUGAGUAACACGUGGGUAACCUACCUCAUAGUGGGGGAUAACAGUCGGAAACGACUGCUAAUACCGCAUAGGACAUAGGAUCACCUGAUCCAGUGAGGAAAGGUGGCGCAAGCUAUCGCUAAGAGAUGGACCCGCGGUGCAUUAGCUAGUUGGUAGGGUAAAGGCCUACCAAGGCGAUGAUGCAUAGCCGACCUGAGAGGGUGAUCGGCCACAUUGGGACUGAGACACGGCCCAAACUCCUACGGGAGGCAGCAGUAGGGAAUCUUCCGCAAUGGACGCAAGUCUGACGGAGCAACGCCGCGUGAGUGAAGAAGGUCUUCGGAUCGUAAAGCUCUGUUGUUAGAGAAGAACAGCGCAUAGAGUAACUGUUAUGCGUGUGACGGUAUCUAACCAGAAAGCCACGGCUAACUACGUG
This 502-nucleotide ribosomal RNA is filed under the name uncultured bacterium. RNAcentral's name for it is "partial 16S ribosomal RNA". It matches the Rfam family "Bacterial small subunit ribosomal RNA", at positions 28 to 507 of the family's 1533-position model. The record is from RNAcentral.